AGUGAACGCUGGCGGUAGGCCUAACACAUGCAAGUCGAACGGCAGCACAGUAAGAGCUUGCUCUUACGGGUGGCGAGUGGCGGACGGGUGAGGAAUACAUCGGAAUCUACUUUUUCGUGGGGGAUAACGUAGGGAAACUUACGCUAAUACCGCAUACGACCUACGGGUGAAAGCAGGGGAUCUUCGGACCUUGCGCGAUUGAAUGAGCCGAUGUCGGAUUAGCUAGUUGGCGGGGUAAAGGCCCACCAAGGCGACGAUCCGUAGCUGGCCUGAGGGGAUGAUCAGCCACACUGGAACUGAGACACGGUCCAGACUCCUACGGGAGGCAGCAGUGGGGAAUAUUGGACAAUGGGCGCAAGCCUGAUCCAGCCAUACCGCGUGGGUGAAGAAGGCCUUCGGGUUGUAAAGCCCUUUUGUUGGGAAAGAAAAGCAGCAGGUUAAUACCCCGCUGUUCUGACGGUACCCAAAGAAUAAGCACCGGCUAACUUCGUG
Molecule: ribosomal RNA, 492 nt
Filed under: uncultured bacterium
Lineage: Bacteria
Description: partial 16S ribosomal RNA
Rfam family: Bacterial small subunit ribosomal RNA
Source: RNAcentral